This 253-nucleotide ribosomal RNA is filed under the name uncultured bacterium. Its description in RNAcentral is "partial 16S ribosomal RNA". It matches the Rfam family "Bacterial small subunit ribosomal RNA", at positions 524 to 776 of the family's 1533-position model. The record is from RNAcentral.
UACGUAGGGUGCAAGCGUUGUCCGGAAUUAUUGGGCGUAAAGAGCUCGUAGGUGGUCUGUCGCGUCGGCUGUGAAAUCCCGAGGCUCAACCUCGGGCCUGCAGUGGGUACGGGCAGACUGGAGUGCGGUAGGGGAGAAUGGAAUUCCUGGUGUAGCGGUGGAAUGCGCAGAUAUCAGGAGGAACACCGAUGGCGAAGGCAGUUCUCUGGGCCGUAACUGACGCUGAGGAGCGAAAGCGUGGGGAGCGAACAGG